This 423-nucleotide long non-coding RNA is filed under the name Pogona vitticeps (central bearded dragon). RNAcentral's name for it is "lncRNA (ENSPVIG00000018956.1)". Lineage: Eukaryota; Metazoa; Chordata; Lepidosauria; Squamata; Agamidae. The record is from RNAcentral.
CAGAGCCUUCACUGCAGCAGCUAAAAGAGAGACAAUCGUCUGUCUAGAGAGGUUACAGCACAGCACACAUUUCAACCAGCUUUACAGGCAUCCACAAAGAGAAACAAGGAAUAAAAUGUAUGCAUUGGCAAGGCUGAGAAUGGUUCUGACUUAAGGCUAAUGGCCCACAUUUCAGUGGGCAACAUCGAUCCAUGAAAACAGAACAAAUUUGGAAAGAGGAAAUGAUUCGUGUCUCCAGCAUAGCUGUGCUCCCUAGCAAGAAGAAAGCCUAAGGUACCUUCCCAAACCAGCCAGCAGAGCUUUGCUGUCUGCCUCCAAGUCCACAGAGAAGCACCGAAGUCAAUUAAGCAUCUGGGCAGUUAAGUGACAAGCUGGCUUCCUUCCUGUGACACUAAAUAAAAAAUGGCAUGAAAAAAUAAAAUG